RNAcentral lists this ribosomal RNA (440 nucleotides) under uncultured bacterium. Its description in RNAcentral is "partial 16S ribosomal RNA". It matches the Rfam family "Bacterial small subunit ribosomal RNA", at positions 338 to 795 of the family's 1533-position model. The record is from RNAcentral.
CCUACGGGAGGCAGCAGUGAGGAAUAUUGGUCAAUGGGGGAAACCCUGAUGCAGCGACGCCGCGUGAGUGAAGAAGUAAUUCGUUAUGGACAGCUCUAUCAGCAGGGAAGAAAAUGACGGUACCUGAGUAAGAAGCCCCGGCUAACUACGGGCCAGCAGCCGCGGUAAUACGUAGGGGGCAAGCGUUAUCCGGAUUUACUGGGUGUAAAGGGAGCGUAGACGGCAGUGCAAGUCUGGAGUGAAAGGCGGGGGCUCAACCCCCGGACUGCUCUGGAAACUGUACGGCUGGAGUGCAGGAGAGGUAAGUGGAAUUCCUAGUGUAGCGGUGAAAUGCGUAGAUAUUAGGAGGAACACCAGUGGCGAAGGCGGCUUACUGGACUGUAACUGACGUUGAGGCUCGAAAGCGUGGGGAGCAAACAGGAUUAGAUACCCGUGUAGUC